AUACGUAGGGUGCAAGCGUUAAUCGGAAUUACUGGGCGUAAAGCGUGCGCAGGCGGUUUUGUAAGACAGUGGUGAAAUCCCCGGGCUCAACCUGGGAACUGCCCUUGUGACUGCAAGGCUGGAGUGCGGCAGAGGGGGAUGGAAUUCCGCGUGUAGCAGUGAAAAGCGUAGAUAUGCGGAGGAACACCGAUGGCGAAGGCAAUCCCCUGGGCCUGCACUGACGCUCAUGCACGAAAGCGUGGGGAGCAAACAGGAUUAGAUACCCUGGUAGUCCACGCCCUAAACGAUGUCAACUGGUUGUUGGGGAUUUAUUUUCUCAGUAACGAAGCUAACGCGUGAAGUUGACCGCCUGGGGAGUACGGCCGCAAGGUUAAAACUCAAAGGAAUUGACGGGG
This 395-nucleotide ribosomal RNA is filed under the name uncultured bacterium. RNAcentral's name for it is "partial 16S ribosomal RNA". It matches the Rfam family "Bacterial small subunit ribosomal RNA", at positions 523 to 918 of the family's 1533-position model. The record is from RNAcentral.